UACGAAGGGGGCUAGCGUUGCUCGGAAUCACUGGGCGUAAAGGGUGCGUAGGCGGUUCUUUAAGUCAGGGGGGAAAUCCUGGAGCUCAACUCCAGAACUGCCUUUGAUACUGAAGAUCUUGAGUUCGGGAGAGGUGAGUGGAACUGCGAGUGUAGAGGUGAAAUUCGUAGAUAUUCGCAAGAACACCAGUGGCGAAGGCGGCUCACUGGCCCGAUACUGACGCUGAGGCGCGAAAGCCAGGGGAGCAAACGGG
RNAcentral lists this ribosomal RNA (253 nucleotides) under uncultured bacterium. Its description in RNAcentral is "partial 16S ribosomal RNA". It matches the Rfam family "Bacterial small subunit ribosomal RNA", at positions 524 to 776 of the family's 1533-position model. The record is from RNAcentral.